GAUGAAGAACGUAGCGAAAUGCGAUAAGUAAUGCGAAUUGCAGAAUUCAGUGAAUCAUCGAAUCUUUGAACGCACAUUGCGCCCGCCAGUACUCUGGCGGGCAUGCCUGUCUGAGCGUCAUUUCAACCCUCGCGCCCGGCUUCUGUCGGGGGCGGUGUUGGGGAUCGGCCUCCCGUCUUCCGGGCGGCCGGCCCCUAAAUGGAGUGGCGACCGCGCCGUAGCCUCCUCUGCGUAGUAGUGAAACACUCGCGGGCGGAGAGCGGUGCGGCCCGCCGUAAAACCCCCAACUCUUCUAAGGUUGACCUCAGAUCAGGUAGGAAUACCCGCUGAACUUAAGCAUAUCAAUAAGCGGAGGA
Molecule: unclassified non-coding RNA, 356 nt
Filed under: soil metagenome
Description: partial contains 5.8S ribosomal RNA, internal transcribed spacer 2, and large subunit ribosomal RNA
Rfam family: 5.8S ribosomal RNA (bases 1-120)
Source: RNAcentral